RNAcentral lists this long non-coding RNA (2924 nucleotides) under Canis lupus familiaris (dog). Its description in RNAcentral is "lncRNA (ENSCAFG00845025639.1)". The record is from RNAcentral. Lineage: Eukaryota; Metazoa; Chordata; Mammalia; Carnivora; Canidae.
UUUUUUUUUUUUUUUUUUUGUUCCUGAGGUGAAAGCAGAGCUAACUUAGGUAUGUAUUUGCAUCAGAAAGACUCCCCAGCAGCAUCUAUACUAGUCAGUGAUCAUUUUUUCAUUAUUUUAGGUACCUACUUGUUCGCAAUUUUUCUUUUUAAGCCCCCUGCUCUCCUCUCCACAAAGCACAAACAGUCACUGUCACACAGAGACACAGACACAACUCAAAUGAUGACGGUAAUUGACAUUGCCAUUUUCAUAGAAUAUUACUAGGUGAAGCCUAUAUUCAUUCACACUACCUGUGUUUUAUGCUUAUUGAAAUCCCAUCAAUUCGUGAAAAUCUACUCAUCUCCAUUAGUGCUUCCAUUUAUCUAUGUGUUUAUGCCAGAAAUGUGAGAGCAAUUACUGGCACCUCCUCUGUCCCACAGAACCCCGAGCCCAAUCAAUUCAUCAUUAGAUCUUCUGGAAUCACCCUAUAAAAUAUAUCUUAAAUCUGUCCUCUUUUCCUAACUUGUUGCUGCCAUUCUAGUCCAAGCUCUUUUUCUUGCUUGCAUAUCUGACUUCCCCUGCUCCUGUGUAAUUUCACCUCCAGAAGAACCAGAAUGAUUUCUUGAAAUUUAAUCUUGCCAUUCUGCUGAUUAAAUGGCCCUUGCCCAGCCCACACUGGCCAUGGCUUUUGAGGGGCACUUAGGAUAGACUCUGAAAUCUUUACAAGACACACGGGAAGUUGUAUGUUGUGCCCACUGCUUGCCCUGCCACAUCCUUUCACUCUACUCUUCUCUGGCUCUCUGGUUAUGUCCGCUCUGUACUCUUUGUUAGUUCUCAGACCAAAAAAACACAUUUUUUUUUCACGUCUCAGCACCUGAAAAGUUCUUGCCUCCCUCUCUUCACCUAGUUCCUACUAAUCCUUUAGGACACUUCCUCAAUGAUCUAAUUCCCAAGCUAAAUCUCAACUCCCUAGUAUAUUCUCUCCUACUCCCCUGUAUCUUCCUGUAGAACAACCACCACAACUUCAAAUUAUUUAGAUGCUUAGAUUCGUAUCUUCUUGUUCACUGUAUAUUCCAGACCUGACACAGUGCCCAGCAUAUGGUAAAUGCUCAAUAAAUAUUUGUCAAAUAAAUUAUGUUAAUUGUAUGCACAGCCUCAGACCGUUAACUGCACUGUUAGGGAAAAUCAUAAAAACUAGUGAAUCAUAUAUCACUUUCUCGCAAAGCAUUUUGCAUACACCUUGGUUUUCAAAUGAAUGACUAGCAACCCACCCUCAUGACCAUUAUCAUGAAGCACCCCCUCCUGGAACUGGCCCACCUGCUUGGCUCUUCCAGCUGGCCACCUUUUGAAUAAGCAGUGGCAGAGCCCAUUUUUGUAGGGUGAUUUGUAGGAUGCCUGGAAAUAUGACCAGUUUCACUUCCACUAGCAAUACCACGAGGUCCUCAAUUUUUAGCUUAUCGCAUUAGAAAGUCCCUACAGCAAAAUUGUUGUUUGGAGAAAUAAUAUGUUAGCCAUUAUUGGUGAUUAUUGUCAUGCCUCAAGACAGAAUGGCCAGGUAGUCAGAGAUCAGGAUGUUCAAGAGGAAGAGACAUAAUAUAGGUACAUUUUGAUUGAGGAAGAACUCUAAAUGCCAAAAAACAUUAAGGCAUUCUCUUGAGGUGGGUCUAAUGAGGAAUUUGGGCAUCAUUAUUUCACAGAGAAACGUAGGGGUGGGUUGCUAGGUGUCUAUCAAGGAAGCUGGAUCAUCCGAGGCAUGUUGAAAACAGUGCAGAUGGACAUUUACGGGAACAAGAGUUUAGAAGACGCAUUAAGAAAUUAUACUUCUCUUUUUAGCUUGGCUUUGCCUGUCAAACUUCAUCCUCACACGGAAUGUUAAGCAUUUGUUUUUCUUGAGGAAAACAGACAGCCUUGAUCAUAAAGAUACAAAGGCAGUAAGACUGCCUGAGCUGGAUGGUGAGCUCAAACUUUCACAUCUCUCUGCUUUCAUCACUGUGCCUGAACUCGGUGCUCCUGAACUGGCCCUCAUCCCCUGGUUCCAGACCUGAGAUGACCUCAUUUGACCUGGGCAGGGACCUAAGUUUCAGCUUCCCCAGCCUGCUUUGCUGACUCUAACUUUGGAUCGAAUACUUUUCUGUAGGGGCUUGCUUCCGGCAUUCCUCCACCAGGACUCUAUGUAGACUUCUCAGAGUCUCUCGGUAUAAUGAGUCUGAUCUCUUUCUUAUCACCUUGCUUUUGUAGUUUAUCAAAUGCUUUCAAGACUAUUUUCUCAUCUGAUCAUUAUAGCAAUCUUGUGAAAUAGAAAUACAUUUUAUAAAUGAGGAAACUGGUUCCCUUUUCAGAUGAGGUUGACUUGUUCUUUUCUCUUUUCCUGGACUUAAUUAUUGCUAAUAGAAUACUAACUGACUCUGAUGAGGCAGGUAAUAGCCCCUUGGGCCAGCUGCCAAUGUAAAAUGACUCAAAUGGAAACUAACUAAAACAAGGAUGGAAUGUUCUAGAAUACCUGAAAACCACAAAUCCAUAAUCUUCAAAGCCACAGAAAGCUGGCCUAUGUUGAGAUGGAUUUAGCAGGGUAUCAUGACCACCGUGGAAUAAAAGAUGGCAAUAGUGGCCACUCAAGUGAUAUUGAGGACUUCUCUAGAGCAUUCAAAAAGACUAGGGAUGUUUCUUGAGUUGGCAUUCUGGUCAAAGAGAGUCUGGAUUCAGUGAGCCAUCAUCUAAAGCUGAAAUUAGCUUCUGUUAUUUACCAGGAUUUUAAAUUCAGUUCAGCAAGUGACUCCAGGCUGUUUUGGCAAACAUUACAAACUUGCCACUCUUUUCUCCAUUUGGCACAGGGCAGAAAGCAUAUGCAAAGGCUGCCAACAUUCCUCUAUGUGCUGGUUUUAACAUAAAUGGGGAUUGGAGCAAUGAUACAGAAAAAAGCCAAUCAUAUAAACCCAGAGCAAAAA